Molecule: transfer RNA, 66 nt
Filed under: Romualdius bifoveolatus
Lineage: Eukaryota; Metazoa; Arthropoda; Insecta; Coleoptera; Curculionidae
Description: tRNA-Gly
Source: RNAcentral
AUUUAUAUAAUAUAAAAAUUAUAUUUAACUUCCAAUUAAAAAAUCUAGAAUUUUCUAGUAUAAAUA